This 426-nucleotide ribosomal RNA is filed under the name uncultured Acinetobacter sp. RNAcentral describes it as "bacterial SSU rRNA". It matches the Rfam family "Bacterial small subunit ribosomal RNA", at positions 354 to 771 of the family's 1533-position model. Lineage: Bacteria; Pseudomonadati; Pseudomonadota; Gammaproteobacteria; Moraxellales; Moraxellaceae. The record is from RNAcentral.
GUGGGGAAUAUUGGACAAUGGGCGCAAGCCUGAUCCAGCCAUGCCGCGUGUGUGAAGAAGGCCUUUUGGUUGUAAAGCACUUUAAGCGAGGAGGAGGCUACUGAGAUUAAUACUCUUGGAUAGUGGACGUUACUCGCAGAAUAAGCACCGGCUAACUCUGUGCCAGCAGCCGCGGUAAUACAGAGGGUGCGAGCGUUAAUCGGAUUUACUGGGCGUAAAGCGUGCGUAGGCGGCUUUUUAAGUCGGAUGUGAAAUCCCUGAGCUUAACUUAGGAAUUGCAUUCGAUACUGGGAAGCUAGAGUAUGGGAGAGGAUGGUAGAAUUCCAGGUGUAGCGGUGAAAUGCGUAGAGAUCUGGAGGAAUACCGAUGGCGAAGGCAGCCAUCUGGCCUAAUACUGACGCUGAGGUACGAAAGCAUGGGGAGCAA